This 253-nucleotide ribosomal RNA is filed under the name uncultured bacterium. RNAcentral's name for it is "partial 16S ribosomal RNA". It matches the Rfam family "Bacterial small subunit ribosomal RNA", at positions 524 to 776 of the family's 1533-position model. The record is from RNAcentral.
UACGGAGGGUGCAAGCGUUAUCCGGAUUCACUGGGUUUAAAGGGUGCGUAGGUGGGUUGAUAAGUCAGUGGUGAAAUCCCCGAGCUUAACUUGGGAACUGCCAUUGAUACUAUUGAUCUUGAAUACCGUGGAGGUCAGCGGAAUAUGUCAUGUAGCGGUGAAAUGCUUAGAUAUGACAUAGAACACCAAUUGCGAAGGCAGCUUACUACACAGUUAUUGACGCUGAGGCACGAAAGCGUGGGGAUCAAACAGG